UCCUGAGUAGCUCAAUGGUAGAGCAUCCGGCUGUUAACCGGAGGGUUGUAGGUUCGAAUCCUACCUCAGGAG
Molecule: transfer RNA, 72 nt
Filed under: Candidatus Eiseniibacteriota bacterium
Lineage: Bacteria; Candidatus Eiseniibacteriota
Also listed under: 1 other name
Description: Candidatus Eisenbacteria bacterium tRNA-Asn
Rfam family: tRNA
About the family: Transfer RNA (tRNA) molecules are approximately 80 nucleotides in length. Their secondary structure includes four short double-helical elements and three loops (D, anti-codon, and T loops). Further hydrogen bonds mediate the characteristic L-shaped molecular structure. tRNAs have two regions of fundamental functional importance: the anti-codon, which is responsible for specific mRNA codon recognition, and the 3' end, to which the tRNAs corresponding amino acid is attached (by aminoacyl-tRNA synthetases). tRNAs cope with the degeneracy of the genetic code in two manners: having more than one tRNA (with a specific anti-codon) for a particular amino acid; and 'wobble' base-pairing, i.e. permitting non-standard base-pairing at the 3rd anti-codon position.
Source: RNAcentral